UACGUAGGGGGCUAGCGUUGUCCGGAAUCAUUGGGCGUAAAGGGCGCGUAGGCGGCCAUGCGUGUCUUCCGUGAAAUCCCUCGGCUUAACUGAGGACGUGCGGGAAGAAACUGCAAGGCUUGAGUCCGGGAGAGGGGGGUGGAAUUCCCAGUGUAAGGCGGUAAAAUGCGUAGGAUAUUGGGGAGGAACACCGGGUGGCGAAGGCGGCCCCCUG
Molecule: ribosomal RNA, 214 nt
Filed under: uncultured bacterium
Lineage: Bacteria
Description: partial 16S ribosomal RNA
Rfam family: Bacterial small subunit ribosomal RNA
Source: RNAcentral